AUGCACAUAGCCUACCCCGGGCUUGUCUGAGAUCCUCAUGACGAAUAUUGCCCUAUGCUUGUGCUAGAGAGAAGUGCUUCCGUGUUGCUUGCUCAGCAUUUGAUUGCUUGGCAGGUGUCUAAGUGUAGCACACAGCU
This is a small nucleolar RNA of Selaginella moellendorffii, 137 nucleotides long. It matches the Rfam family "small nucleolar RNA snoR134". The record is from Rfam. NCBI's taxonomy places the organism in Eukaryota, Viridiplantae, Streptophyta, Lycopodiopsida, Selaginellales, Selaginellaceae.